This is a long non-coding RNA of Gorilla gorilla gorilla (western lowland gorilla), 9887 nucleotides long. RefSeq lists it as uncharacterized. NCBI's taxonomy places the organism in Eukaryota, Metazoa, Chordata, Mammalia, Primates, Hominidae. The record is from RefSeq and is a predicted model, not a curated record. The transcript is spliced from 9 exons.
UCCCUUCUCCAGAGCGCCGUCGACCCCACGCCACGCAGAGGUGAAGAUACGCAGGACGUCCUCUAAAGCAACUUCCGUGGGUGCCAGGUUAUGGGCUGGGGGCGGUGCUGACCUUGAGAGAGCGGAGGAGGCGCAGGCGCAGCACAGUUUAAACUUGAUUUUGUGAGGGGACGAACAGCGUGACAAUUAAAGAAGAUCUAGGAAUCCUUCCUGAGGCCUUCACCAGAAGCAGAUGCUGGUGCCGUGCUUCUACAGCCUGCAGAACUGAAGGACUUUACAGCUUCUCUUUGGCAUAUCCAAAUUGCCAGCAUCACCGCUCUUGCACUGCAAGCCAUUAUUAAGUAAAGAACACAAACACUGUGAUACUGCUACACUUGAUCUGAUAACCAAGAAGUCUACUAAGUGACUAACAGCAGAGCAACUGGGAACCUAAUUCUGACCAACAAGGAGGAAUUGUUUGGCUAAUUGGAAGUGACAGAAACCUUGGGAGAAAGCAACCGCAUACCAAGGAUAAUUAUAAGAAGUAACUUUUUUGCCCAUUGGUGUCAUUUAACCAAAAGAAGAAGAAAUUCAAAAAAAAAAAAAAAAUCAACUGAAACAAAAGAAUAGACUGAAUUUGCCAAAGGAGUGCUUAAAUGGAGACCUAAGUCUUCAAAGCUAAGGUGAUGAGAAAAGAACAGGUCUUAAAUUUCUUCAGAGCUUCAAGAGGCAAAGCUUGAAAGAAGAAAAAAUUUUAUUCUUAGAAAGAAGACAUGGAGGAGGGAGUAGUUGUGACCGUGGAGGCAGAGAAUGGAGUAAUGUGAUCAUAAAUCAAGGAAUGCUGACAGCCACUAAAGCUGGAGAAGGCCAAGGACAGAUAUUCAGUCCUCCCGUAGAGAUUUAUAUAUCAGCUUUUUAUCAGUUGAAAUAAACCACCCUGGGCCAGGUGCAGUGGCUCACACCUGUAAUCCCAGCACUUUGGGAGGCAGGUAGAUCACUUGAGUUCAGGAGUUCAAGGCCAGCCUGACCAACAUGGUGAAACCGCAUCUCUACUAAAAAAUACAAAAAUUAGCCCGGCGUUGUGGCAGGCACUUGCAAUCCCAGCUACUCAGGAGGCUGAGGCACAAGAAUUCCUUGAACCUGGGAGGUGGAGGUUGCAGUGAGUCGAAACCAAGCCACUGCCCUCCAGUCUGGGCAACAGAUUGUCUCGAAAAAAAUAAAUACAUAAAAUAAAUAAGCCACACUGUACUUGUGAAGAUUAACUGAGAUGUUUAAAACAUUAUUUGAAAAAAUGCAAGGCAUGAUGUAAGUGUAAAGCAUUAUUAUAUAUCAACAUAAUUGACCAUUAGAAAAAUGCAAAUUAACACCUCAAUGAGAUAUAUCACCAGACACCUGUUAGAAUGGUUACAAUAAAAAGUACUGAUGAUAUUAAGUGCUGAUAAAAUGCAGAGUAACUCGAUCUCUCAUACAUUGCUGAUGCUAAUGUAAAAUGAUAUCACCACUCUAGAAAACAGUUUGGCCGUUUCUUAUAAAGUUAAACAUGCACUUACUAUACAACCCAGUAAUACAACUACUGGAUAUUCAUUCUAGGGAGAUCAAAAUUUACACCCAAAAACAUGUACAUAAAUGUUCAUAUCAGCUUUAUUUGCAAUAGCACAAAAUGAAACAAUCAGAUGUCCUCCAAUUGAUAACUGGUAUAACCCUAUCACGGAAUCCUACUGAGCAAUAAAAAGGAAAGCACUGUUGAUACAUACAACAACUUGAGUGCAUUUCAAGGCUGUUAUGCUGACUGAAAUAAAAGCUAAUCUCAAAAGGUUAUGUAUUAUGUGAUUCUGUUUAUAUAACAUUCUUAAAAUGGCAAAAUCACAGCAAUGAAGAACUGAUCAGUAGUGCCAGGGGUUAGGGUUGUGGGGAGAGUGUGAGCAUGAAUGGGCAGCGUAAGAGAAUUUCUUUGGAGUGACGGAAUAGUUUUAUAUCUUGAUUAUGGUGAUCAUUAUAUUAAACAAUUGCAUGUGAUAAAAUUCUAUAGGACUGUAUGCCAAAAAUAAAUUAAUAUGUUUAUUUUUAAGGUCUGGAAAGCAUGGAAAUUUGUAUCUUCAUUCACUUUUGUUUUCAUGGACUCUUUUCAUGUUUGAACUUUUCAUGACGGAGUCCUGCUGUGUUGUCCAGGCUGGUCUUGAACCCCGGGACUCAAACGAUCCUUCUCCUUGGCCUCCCAAAGUUCUGGGAUUACAGGUAUGAGCUACAGUGCCCUGAGAGUCCUUUUUAAAGUGAAUGCUCAAACAUGGAAUUAAAUUUAGGCAAAGCUCACUUUUAUUUAUACAUAAAACAACUUCAGCCAUGUACCUCAUAACAAUAUUUUGACCAAUGUCUGACCUUAUAUACAAUGGUUGUCCUGUACGAUUAUAAUGAAGCUGAAAAUUUUCUAUUGCCUAGUAACAUUGUAGUAAUUGUAAUGUAGCACAACCUAUCGCACGUGUUUGUAGUGAUGCUGGUGUAAACAAACCGACUGCAUUGCCAGUCUAGUAUAAAAGUCUAGCACACACAGUUAUCCACAGUAUAUAGUACUUGAUAAUGAUAAUAAACAACUGUCACUGGCUUAUAUAUUUGCUAUACUUUACUUUUUAUCAUUAUUUUGGAGUAUAUUUAGAGUAUAUUAAGCAGCCUUAGGCAGGUCUUUCAGGAGGCAUUCCAGAAGGAGGCAUUCCAGAAGAAGGCAUUGUUAUCAUAGGAGGUGACAGCUCCCUGUGUGUUGUUGCCCCUGAAGAACUUCCAGUGGGACAAGAUAUGGUGGUGAAAGACAGUGAUAUUGAUGAUCUUGACCCUGUGUAGGCUUAGGCUCAUGUGUUUGUGUCUUCGUUCUUUUUUUUUUUUUUUUUUGAGAUGGGGUCUUGCACUGUUGCCCAGGCUGGAGUGCAGUGGCGCGAUCUUGGCUCACUGCAAGCUCCGCCUCCUGGGUUGAUGCCAUUCUCCUGCCUCAGCCUCCCGAGUAGCUGGGACUACAGGUGCCCACCACUACACCCGACUAAUUUUUUGUACUUUUAGUAGAGAUGGGGUUUCACCAUGUUAGCCAGGAUGGUCUUGACCUCCUGACCUCGUGAUCCACCCGCCUCGGCCUCCCAAAGUGCUGGGAUUACAGUAUUUAAAACAUUUUUUUAAAUUAAAAAUUUUUUAAAUAGAAAAAAGCCUAUAGCAUAAGGAUAUAACGAAAAAGUAUUUUUAUCCAGCUGCACAAUGUAUUUGUGUUUUAAACUGUGUUAUUAUGCAAGAGUUACAAAGUUUUUAAAAAUAAAAAGUUUAUAAAGUAAAAAACUUACAACACAUCAAAAGAUAAUACACCAUGAUCAAGUGGGCUUUAUCCCAGGGAUGCAAGCAUAGUUCAACAUAUGCAAAUUAAUAAGUGAUAUCAACAGAAUGAAGGACAAAAGCUUUAUGAUCAUCUUAACAGAUACAGAAAAGCAUUUGAUAAAAUUUAAAUUCCUUCAUGAUAAAAACUCUCAACAAAUUAGGCAUAGAAGGAACAUACCUCAGCAUAUUAAGGGCCAUAUAUGGUUAACCCAGAGCUAAAAUCAUACUGAACAGGCAAAAGCUGAAAGCCUUUCUGCAAAGAACUGGAACAAGACAAGGAUGACCACUUUCACCACUCUUAUUCAACAUGGUACUGGAAGUCCUAGCCAGAGCAAUCAGGCAAGAGAAAGAAUUAAAAGACAUCCAGUUGGAAAAAAGGAGGUCAUAUAUUUUCUCUUUGCAGACAACGUAAUCUUAAAUCUAGAAAAACCUGAAGACUCCACCAAAAAGGCUGAGCAUGGUGACUCAUGCCUGUAAUCUCAGCACUUUGAGAGGCUGAGGCAGGAGGAUCACUUGAGCCCAGGGGUUCAAGACCAGCCUGGACAACAUAGUGAGACCCCAAUCUCUAAAAAAAGUUAAAAACUUUAGCCAGGUGUGGUGGCACAUGCCUGUUGUAUUAGCUGCUUGUGAGCCUGGGGUGGGAGGAUCACUUGAGCCCUGGAGUUCAAGGCUGCAGUGAGCAAUGAUCAUGCCACUGCACUGUAGCCUGGGUUGUGACAGUGCAAGACACUGUUAAUAAACAAAACUAAGACAAAACAGACUCCACCAAAAAGCUCUUAGAAUUGAUAAACAAAUUCAGUAAAGUUUCAGGAUCCAAAACCAACAUGCAAAAAUUAGUAGUGUUUCUAUACGCCAAUAACAAACAAGCUGAAAAAUACAUUAAGAAAGCAAUUCCAUUUACAAUAGCUACAAAAAAAGAACUUAGAAAUAAAUGUAACCAAGGCAGUAAAAGACCUCUAUGCCAUAAACGACAGAACAUUGAUGAAAGAAAUUGAAAAGGACACAAACAAAUAGAAAAUAGAAAGAUAUCCCAUGUUCAUGGAUAGAAAUAAUUAAUAUUGUUAAAAUGACCAUACUACUGAAAGUAAUCUACAGAUUCAAUGCAAUCCCUAUCAAAACACCAGUAAAAUUACUCACAGAAAUAGAAAAAAAAAAUCCUAAAAUUUGUAUGGAACAACAAAGGCCCUAAGUAGCCAAAGCAUUCCUGAGCAAAAAUUAUAAAGUGAGAGGCAUUGCCCAACCAGACUUCAAAAUAUACUACUAAGCUAAGUAACCCAAACAACAUGUUACUAGUAUAAAAACAGACACAUAUACCAAUGGAACAGAAUAGAGAACCCAAGAAUAAUCUAUCUAUUUAUAGCCAACUGAUUUUUUGUGAACAUGCCAAGAAUAUACAUUGGGGAAAGGAUAGUCUCUUUAAUAAAUCAUGUUGGGAAAAUUGGAUAUCCGUAUACAGAAGAAUGACACUAAACUCCUAUCUCUCACCAUAUACAAAUAUCAAUUCAAAAUGAAUUUAAAAACUUAAAUAUGAGACUCCAAACUGUAAAACUACCAAAAGAAAACACAGAAGAAACACUUCAGGACAUUGGUCUACAUUGGUCUAGCCAAAGAUUUUACGUCUAAGACUUCAAAAGCAUAGGCAACAGAAACAAAAAUAAAUAAAUAAAUGGGAUUAUAUUAAACUAAAAAACUUCUGCACAGCAAAGGAAACAAUCAACAGAGUGAAGAGAUGACUUGUAGAGUGACAGAAAGUAUUUGCAAAAUAUUAAUCUGAUAAGGGACUAAUAUCCAGAAUAUACAAGAAACUCAACAGGAAAAAAAAAUCCCAUUAAAAAGUGGGCGAAGGAUCUGAAUAGAUAUUUCUCGAAAGAAAACAAGCAAACGGCCAACAAAUACAUGAAAAAAUGCCCAACAUCACUAAUCAUCAGGGAAAUGCAGAUCAAAACCACAGUGAGAUAUCAUCUCACCCCAGUUAGAAUGGCUAUUAUCAAAAAGGCAAAAAAUAGGUGUGGUGGCAUGUGUCUGUGAUCCCAGCUACUCAGGAGGUUGGGGCCAGGAAUUUAAGCUGCAGUGCGCUAUGAUCACACCUGUGAUCACUGCACUCUAGCCUGGGCAACAUAAUGAGAACCCAUCUCUAAAAAAAUACUAAUAAUUAAACAUUUUUAAGAAGACAAGAAAUAAAUGCUGGCCAGGAUUCAGAGAAAAAGAAACAUACGCUAUUGGUGAGAAUGUAAAUUAGUACAGCUAUUGGCCAGGUGCAGUGGCUCAUGCCUGUAAUCCCAGCACUUUGGGAGGCCAAGGUGGGCAGAUCACUUGAGGCCAGGAGUUCAAGACUUGCCUGGCCAUCUCUACUAAAAAUACAAAAAUUAGCCAGGCAUGGUGGGACACACCUGUAAUCCCAGCUACUUGGGAGGCUGACAUGGGAGAAUCAUCUGAGCUUGAGAGGUGGAGAUUGCAGUGAGCCGAGAUCAUGCCUCUGCACUCCAGCCUGGGUGAUAGAGUGAGACUCCAUCUCAAAACACACACACACACACACACACACACAUACACACACAAAAAAACAAACAACAACAAAAACAAUUAAUACAGCCAUUAUGGAAAACAGUAUGGAGGUUUCUCAAAAACUGAAAAUACAACUUCCGUAUGAUCCAGCAAUCCCACUACUGGGUAUUUAUCUCCCCAGAAGGGAAAUCAGUAUAUCAAAGAGACAUCUUCACCCCAUUGUUUAUUGCAGCGCUAUUCACAAUAGUCAAGGUAUGAAAUCAAACUAAGCAUCCCUCAACAGAUGGAUAAAGAAAAUGUGCUAUAUAUACACAAUGGAAUACUAUUCUGCAACAAAAAGGGAAUAAAAUCCUAUCAUUUGUAGCAAUAUGGACAGAACUGGAGGUCAUUAUGUUAAGUGCGAUUAGCCAGGUACAGAAAGACAAAUAUUGCAUGAUCUCACUCAUGUGGGAGCUAAGAAAGUUGAUCUCAUGGAGGUAGAGAGUAGAAAAAAAGUUGAGAUUAGGAAGGGUGUGGUGGAGUGAGUAAAGUGAGGUUGGUUAAAGGGUAGAAACACAGAAAGAAGGGAUAAGUUCUAAUGUUUAAUAGCAUGUAGGAUGGCUAUAGUUAACAAUAAUUUAUUGUAUAUUUAAAAAUAGCUGCAAGAGAAUAUUUGAAAUGUUCACAACACAAAGAAAUAAUAAAUGUUUGAGGUAAUGGAUAUCCUAAAUACAUUGAUUUGAUCCUUACACACUGUAUGCAUGUACCCCAGAAAUAUGUAUAUUUAUUAGAUAUCAAUAGUUUUUUAAAAGUUAAAAAGGAACAAAACCAUGAAAAAUUUAUAGUAAGCUAAGAUUAAUUCAUUAUUUAAGAAAUAUUUUUAAAAAUACAUUUGGGGUAGCCUAAGUGUACAGUGUUUAUAAAGUCUACAGUACUAGACAGUAAUGUCCUCAGCCUUCACAUUCACUCACCACUCACUCACUGACUCACCCAGAACAACUUCCAGUACUGCAAGCUCUGUUCAUGGAAGUGCCCUAGACAGGUGUACCAUUUUUAAUCUUUUAUACUGUAUUUUUACUGUAUCUUUUCUAUGUUUAGAUACCAAAGUACUUCCCAUUGUGUUACAAUUGCUUAGAGCAUUCAGUACAGUAACAUGCUAUGUUUAUAAUCUAAGAGUAAUCAGCUAUACUGUACAGUCUAGGUGUGUAGUUGGCAAUACCAUCUAGGCUUGUGUAAGUAUAUUCUAUGAUUUUCAUACAACAAAAUCACCUAAUGAUGCAUUUUUCAGAACUUAUUCUUGUCUGUUAAGCAACAUGUGACUGUGUUUUAUUCUUAUUUUUAAAUUUUACAUUAUCUUUUCAAGGAAACCUCUGGAAAAAAAAAAUUAUACCAAAAUUUUCACUGCCCACUCAAAGUGGUCUAUUUUUACUGUUUAUCUUACAACUGAAGAGACUAUCCAUGCCUUGCUAAAUUCUACUUUAGCUGCUGAGUCUGUCUAUAUACUUAAUAAAUUUACUGUCAUUCAAAUUACAUAAUAAACAUAGGAGCUUACAAUUACUUUUCUAGGAUAAAAUCUAUGCAGGAAGUUUGUCUCAGAGGAAUUUUUGCUGGGUGGCACACGUCUGUAAUCCCAGCACUUUGGGAGCCUGAGGUGGGAGGCUCACUUGAGCCCAGGUGUUCAAGAUCAGCCUAGGCAACAUUGUGAGACUCCAUAUCUACAUGGAGUCCCAGCUCCAUGUAGAUAUGUGUGGUGGCAUGCACCUGUAGUCCCAGCUACAAGGGAGGCUGAGGUGGGAAGAUUGCUUGAGCUCAGGAGGUCGAGGUUGUAGUGAUCUGUGAUCAUACUGCUGCACUCCAGUUUGGGUGACAGAGUGAGACCCUAUGUCAAAAAUAACAUAAAAAGUGGAUUUUUAAUAAGAUAAUCCUUAUGGAUACUAAAAUAUUAGCUUUCUUUGGGCAGUAUAACUUCCCCUGUCAAUGAGAUUACCAAUAUUUGCCAAUAUUUUCAGUCUUCCUGUCUUUUCUGGAUAUGUAAAAUUCUACAUUUCUUAGUUCUGCAAGUUGAGCAGGGCCAUGUGACUAAUUCUACCAAUGGACAGUGACCAAAGGUGAUAUGUAUCACUUCCAUGCCAAAGCAUGUAAGAGUCAGUGUAUGAUUUGCCCAUCCAUACUGUCUUUUCUGGAACAAAGAGCCCUGAGAUAUCACAUUGAAAUGGAGACACCAGAAAAAGGGAGCAAUCUGGAAUGUUGAGUCACUAUGUGAAGGGCUGACAUGGAGAAACUCCUGCACUCUUGGCAGAUUUGCCUGAGUAAGAAACUGUCAUGUGAUAGGACUCUCAGAUUUUUGUUUAGUUUAUAACUAUCAGCAUUGUUCCCUAGCCUAUCCUGACAAACAGAAUCUGUACGCUAACUUGGUUUGUCGUGUUAAAAGUUUUCAUGGCCUUUUGUGCUCCCAUACAUUAGAUGAACAGUUGUAUAUACAUUUUCAAAUUUUCCAGUAAGGAAGUAUUUAAUAUGAUAAACAUUUCAAUUAAUAAUUUGCUCUAUUAGUCUCUAGUACCAACUUAAGAUGUCAAAUUUCUAAUCUAAAUGAACAAUACUUUUCAUUACAUAUAUAAGUUUAUCUCAUACUUAUACCCUGUGUUAAUCAUUACCAAACAAUAGAAAGGGUACAUUUUUGUUGUUGUUGUUGUUAUUGUUGUUGUUGUUUUGAGAUGGAGUUUCAUUCUUGUCACCCAGGCUGGAGCACAAUGCCACGAUCUCAGCUCACUGAAACCUCCACCUCCUGUGUUCAAGCGAUUCUCCCAUCUCAGCCUCCCAAGUAGCUGGGAUUACAGGCACGCACCACCACGCCUGGCUAAUUUUUGUAUUUUUAGUAGAGAUGGGGUUUCACCAUGUUGGCCAGGCUGGUCUCGAACUCCUGACCUCAGGUGAUUCAUCCACCUCAGCCUCCCAAAGUGCUGGGAUUACAGGCGUGAGCCACUGUGCUGGGCCAGGUACAUUUGUGUAUGCAGUCUUCUUUUUAAAUUUUUUAAAAAAUAUUAUUUUAAAAAAUAUUUUGUAGAGGCAAGGUUUCGCUAUGUUUCCCAGGCUGGUCUCGAACUUCUGGCCUCAAGCGAUUCUUUUGCCUCAGCCUCCAAAACUACUGGGAUUACAGCACGAGCCAUCAUGCCCAGCUAUACAGCCUUCUAAUUUACUAAAUAACGUUGAUGUGCUUGAUCAUAUUCCCUGGAAAACAGACCCUGAGAUGGAGAUUUGCAUGCAGGAAUAUUUAUUCGAGAAUGCUCUUAGAAUCAACACUGGUGAAAUGCAGGAUUGAGUAGAGGGAGAAGUUCGCUGUGAUGUACUUACAAUAAAGCCUAAGCUGACCCUAGGAUGGCUCUAAAGCUAGAGUGGCACUUUAGAGGCAUCCCAAAUGAAGGCAGAGGGUUGAACCUCUGUAUGUACAUCAAUGGCCACUCAUUUAUCUAAUGGCUGACUCCUGGAGAUGAGUGUGACCUUGAGUAAGGCUGAGAGCAAUUCCUGUAUGGAGCUGAUAUUUUGAGAGCUGUCAGCCAACGUCAUUCCCAGAAGCUGAGCAAAGAAUUCUUUCAGCCCUGAAAAGGAAUCUGGGUAGUAUAGCUGUGUUCAAUACAACUGAUAAUCAUAAAGGGACAUGUAUCUAUCUGAAGUUGUUAGAUGAUCACCAACACCACCACCACCACCAUCAUCAUUGUCAUCAUCAUCACAUUUACACUGAUAACUUUAGUAUGUGCCAGGCACUUGUCCUAAGUGCUUCGAAAUAAUAUAUUAACUUGUGUAAUUCUCAUGUUAACCCUAUAAUAUAAUCUUAAAUGCUUUGUCCUCAAAAAUAAAAAUCAAUAUAAGUGCUUUUUCUGUAACACAUUCCAAUCCAGAAUGCUUUACUAAUGACCAUUCAGUAAUUUCCAUUGUAUGUUAUUUUAUCCAUCAUGAACAGCCCCAUUUGGUGGUAGUCAUUGGCCAAGAUAGUUACUUUUGCUCAUGGGUUGCAUCUUCUAAAUAAUGGAUGGUAUUAUGAUGUCUGUAAUUUACUUUCAAAUAAAUGAUCACAGAUAAUA